GUGGGGAAUUUUGGACAAUGGGGGAAACCCUGAUCCAGCGACGCCGCGUGAAGGAUGAAGGCCUUCGGGUUGUAAACUUCUUUUGGAGGGGACGAAUAAAUUGACGGUACCCUCAGAAAAAGCCACGGCUAACUACGUGCCAGCAGCCGCGGUAAUACGUAGGUGGCGAGCGUUACUCGGAAUUACUAGGCGUAAAGCGUAUGUAGGCGGUUGUAUAAGUCUAUGGUGAAAUUUCCUGGCUCAACUGGGAAGGGACAUAGAUACUGUAUGGCUUGAGUGGUGGAGGGGGAGACGGAAUUCCUGGUGUAGCGGUGAAAUGCGUAGAUAUCAGGAGGAACACCGAUGGCGAAAGCAGUCUCCUGGCCAAAUACUGACGCUGAGGUACGAAAGCUAGGGUAGCAAACAGGAUUAGAUACCCUUGUAGUCC
This 427-nucleotide ribosomal RNA is filed under the name uncultured bacterium. RNAcentral describes it as "partial 16S ribosomal RNA". It matches the Rfam family "Bacterial small subunit ribosomal RNA", at positions 354 to 796 of the family's 1533-position model. The record is from RNAcentral.